This 107-nucleotide small nuclear RNA is filed under the name Vulpes vulpes (red fox). Lineage: Eukaryota; Metazoa; Chordata; Mammalia; Carnivora; Canidae. The record is from RNAcentral.
AUGCUCGUUUCGGUAGCACAUAUGCUAAAAUCACAACAAUAAAGAGAAGAUUAGCAUGGCCCCUGCACAAGGAUGACAUGCAAAUUCAUGAAGCGUUCCAUACUUAA